UCGCCACUCACCAACCCAUUCCUUCAGAAUGACAAUUUUACCCUCACUUAUUUAACAUCUAUUACAUAAGGCCUAGGGACUUUAUUGUCUUUUAACAUAAAAAAAAACUUAAUAAAAUUACAGCUGUAAAUAAAAUUUUACAUUGCCUAUUACUCUUUCUCUCUCUCUGCAAGUUUACCCAUCUUCGUCCCCUCCGCCUCGCCACUGUGGUCUUCAUCGGGAGCUUCCAUAGCUGCGCCGCCUCGUCCUCCAGCACCCCCACGAGCGGCUUCCAACCCCUCACCAACAUCCUCCCUCGCCGUGGGCAAACGCGCGCCGCCUCGUCCUCCCCUGCGGCCAGAAGCCGCAGGUACCCGUCUUCUAGCCAAACCCGCAGGUGGAACCGCCUUUGAGGUUGACCUCAAAACCCUAAUCCAACCCCUUACCAACAUCCUCCCCCGUGGCCAGAAGCUCAUCUUCAAAGGUGCGUGCCACAAACCCUAGAUCGCUCAUCCUUGAUAUCUUCCCGACGGCGGUGGAUGCUCGCAGCUUGUUAGCUCGCAGCUUGUCACCCUGCACUCUACGCCCUUUGUUAGCUCGCAGCUUGUUUCACCCGUUGCCUCUCGGUCGCUAGUUCAUGUGGAUGCUUCAUUGUCUCUCAGUCAUCGCCGCAGCAGCCGUUGCCAUCCCUAUCGUAAUUUUUUGAGUAGUGCAUGAUGAUUCUUGGGACAAGAAAGACAAUGAACUGCAAGCUCCUCUUUUUGUUUCUAAACUGACCUUUUUUUUCCGAAAAAAUUUCCGGCGUGGAAAGAUGCUUAAGAGAAUCAUUACUCCAGAUCACAACUGGCACAACAUAGGAACUAUUCGUUACUUAUGAAAAGAGUCUCCAUAUAACUGGAAGCACAAGAUAAAUGUAGACGGUAAAGAUUUAUAAGAGGUGGUGGCGAGAAAAAUUUUGGCAGUAUUUUGACGAUAUAUGAAUCAAGUUUAAGUAAACUUGACAUAUUUUGAAAACUUUACAUUUGAUAGCAUGUAGAAAUGACAAAAACACUAUUAUUGUGUUUUGUUUUUUUGUUGUGUUGGGUGUAUUAGGUGACAAUGCAAUGAUACUCUAACAUUUAAA
Long non-coding RNA from Ananas comosus (pineapple), 1102 nucleotides. RefSeq lists it as uncharacterized. The record is from RefSeq and is a predicted model, not a curated record. NCBI's taxonomy places the organism in Eukaryota, Viridiplantae, Streptophyta, Magnoliopsida, Poales, Bromeliaceae. The transcript is spliced from 3 exons.